This is a long non-coding RNA of Gordionus sp. m RMFG-2023, 561 nucleotides long. RefSeq lists it as uncharacterized. The transcript has 3 exons. NCBI's taxonomy places the organism in Eukaryota, Metazoa, Nematomorpha, Gordioida, Chordodea, Parachordodidae. The record is from RefSeq and is a predicted model, not a curated record.
CAUUUAUGAGAGGGUCAAAUAUAAAAAAAAUUUUUUAAAAUUUAUUAUCAAAUUUUUAAAUUUCAAGAACAAAUUAUAAUUUAAAAAUAAUUAUGUUAUUCAUACAUCUUUUCAUAGUGUUAUUUCUGUAUUCCUUCAAUUUAAUGGUCUUUCAAGAUUUUGAUCCCUUAGUUGAUUGUCCAUGUUAUGACAGAACUCCUAGAUGCACGAUCGCUGCACCCAAAAAUUGUUCAGCAGGACUAGUUGAUGACAGAUGUUUAUGUUGUAAAAUUUGUGGAAAGAAACUAAAUCAGACGUGUGAAGGGCGAAGUAAUUGGCAAGGAACAUGUGGAAAAGGUUUGUACUGCCUCCAUAGUGAUGAUGACAGCUUGUUGAAUUACCCGGGAAUAUGUGUCAAAGUCAAAUCUGGCUAAAUUGCGCGGUAUGAUGUUGUCAAAGUCAAAUACACUUUGCCUCAUUUAUGAAUAACACAUUGUAUAAUUUAUUUAAAAUUCAUGAUAAUAAAUAUAUAUUUUUUUAGAAAUAAUUAUCGUAGUUUAUUUGAUAAGCACUGUUUAUUUU